GGUGGGAUUGCAGAGAGGGGUGGAUCGGAGAAAGGGAUGUCAAAAAAAAGAAGAGUAGAUCGAAGAAGGGGACGGUGGGGUUACAGAGAUGGGUGGAUUGGAGAAAGGGAUGCCAAAAAAAGGGAUGGAUCGGAGAAAGGGACGUCGGAAAAAAAAAGGGUUAGAAUGGAGGAAGGGAACCUAGAAAAACAAAAGAGUGAGAAAGACGAUCAAGAGGAGGAAGAAGGGGGUGGAUCAGAUCAAGGAAGGGAACCCCAAAAAAAAGAUCGAGAAAGAUGGUCGAGAGGAGGAAGAAAGGGGUGGAUCAGAUUAAGGGAACCCCAAAAAAAAGAUCGAGAAAGAUGGUCGAG
This 350-nucleotide long non-coding RNA is filed under the name Elaeis guineensis (African oil palm). Its description in RNAcentral is "long non-coding RNA (EGUI_LNC080231)". Lineage: Eukaryota; Viridiplantae; Streptophyta; Magnoliopsida; Arecales; Arecaceae. The record is from RNAcentral.